This 404-nucleotide long non-coding RNA is filed under the name Amborella trichopoda. RNAcentral's name for it is "long non-coding RNA (ATRI_LNC004403)". Lineage: Eukaryota; Viridiplantae; Streptophyta; Magnoliopsida; Amborellales; Amborellaceae. The record is from RNAcentral.
UAAAGAGCACCAAAGUCGGCGCUUGGGUAUGGGAACGAUAUAUUUCCCACAAUCCUCAGCGACAUUGGCAUCCUCGUUGGCCUCUCUUCCCUCCCCUUCCCUUCCAUUCCAUUCUGCUCUUUAUACCAAAGUAGUGAGAGGGUGUUCUAGCACCGUUUUCAAAUUCAUCGACACCGGUUUCGUAUGCUCCGAAACUGGGACCUGUUAUGCUGACUUUUUAGUAGGUCCGGAUAGCGACGCCUAUGACAUUUUCGUUGACAGAAGGCCUACCAGGCCGUAUGCCCAUGGGUGCAGGAUUCUUCGAAAAAGCGCGGGCUGACUCGGAGACCAGGGACCUCGGCUUAGCAACGAAUGAAGGGAAGCUCAAAGAGGCAGUGCCGAGCGCAUGCAAGUGAGAAGCUGAA